RNAcentral lists this ribosomal RNA (439 nucleotides) under uncultured bacterium. RNAcentral's name for it is "partial 16S ribosomal RNA". It matches the Rfam family "Bacterial small subunit ribosomal RNA", at positions 339 to 795 of the family's 1533-position model. The record is from RNAcentral.
CUACGGGUCGCACCAGUGGGGAAUUUUGCGCAAUGGGGGAAACCCUGACGCAGCAAUACCGCGUGAGUGAAGAAGGCCUUUGGGUCGUAAAGCUCUUUUCUUGGGGAAGAUAGUGACGGUACCCAAGGAAUAAGCACCGGCUAACUCCGUGCCAGCAGCCGCGGUAAUACGGAGGGUGCAAGCGUUGUUCGGAGUUACUGGGCGUAAAGGGCACGUAGGCGGCACAGCAAGUUAAGGGUGAAAUCCCGGGGCUCAACUCCGGAACUGCUCUUAAAACUGCUGAGCUAGAGAUAGUCAGAGGCGGGUGGAAUUCCAGGUGUAGAGGUGAAAUUCGUAGAUAUCUGGAGGAACACCGGUGGCGAAGGCGGCCCGCUGGGGCUAUUCUGACGCUAAGGUGCGAAAGCGUGGGGAGCAAACGGGAUUAGAUACCCGCGUAGUC